GGGCGCAUGGUUUAGUGGUAUAAUUCCUCUUUAGCACCUCAAGACCCUUUGGGUCCUAUGAAGUUAGAGGCGGUCCCUGGUUCGAUUCCUGGUGUGUCCA
Non-coding RNA from Cephalotrichum gorgonifer, 100 nucleotides. The record is from the annotation of a GenBank genome assembly. Lineage: Eukaryota; Fungi; Ascomycota; Sordariomycetes; Microascales; Microascaceae.